GAUGAAGAACGCAGCGAAAUGCGAUACGUAAUGUGAAUUGCAGAAUUCAGUGAAUCAUCGAGUCUUUGAACGCACAUUGCGCCCCUUGGUAUUCCGGGGGGCAUGCCUGUUCGAGCGUCAUUACAACCCUCAAGCUCUGCUUGGUCUUGGGCGUCACCGGUCCCCGGUGUGCCUUAAAAUCAGUGGCGGCGCCAUCUGGCUCUAAGCGUAGUACAUACUCUCGCUACAGACGUCCGGUGGAUGCUGGCCAGCAACCCCCAAUUUAUCAAGGUUGACCUCGGAUCAGGUAGGGAUACCCGCUGAACUUAAGCAUAUCAAUAAGCGGAGGA
RNAcentral lists this unclassified non-coding RNA (329 nucleotides) under soil metagenome. RNAcentral's name for it is "partial contains 5.8S ribosomal RNA, internal transcribed spacer 2, and large subunit ribosomal RNA". The stretch from base 1 to 120 matches the Rfam family "5.8S ribosomal RNA", at positions 35 to 154 of the family's 154-position model. The record is from RNAcentral.